UUGUCGCCAGCGUGAACUCCAGUGUCCUGUGUUUGGAAUGGACCCCCAAAUCUGCCCCGGCCUAGGUCGCACCCGUCUCCGUUUAGACUACUUUGUUUUUGUAUCACUUUCUCCUCCUUUUUAUCUUGGAGUCCCUUUGGUCCGUCCCUGUGUCUUCGCUCUCAGAUAUCCGAGUUUCUCAGAUGCUCAGCUCAGGGGAGAAAAUUGUAUGCGGAAUUAAGUCCUUCCUUCUUUAGGCAGUUGGAUGGGUGGGACCAAAAGUCACUUGGUGUCCCGACCAGAUUCGUUACUGUUGCUAAAAUCGUCAGCUCUAAUGCUUUGAGAGAGAUAACUUCCUGCAAACCCAGAACUUUCGGAUUACUUCCGAGCUUGAAGAUCAUGCCACGUGAAGAUGAAGGCAGAUGUUGGAUUGAUACUUCUUUAAGCCAAGGAACUCCAAGAUGGCAGGCAUAUCAUCAGAAGCUAUGAGAAAGGCAUGAAACAGAUCUUUCCCUGACAGCCCUCAGAAGAUUGCAGACAUAGUACUGGUGAGCUACCUCAGCCUUUGUGGAUGAAGACAACUGAAGGGCCCCUGGCUAGCUCAGUCAGAAGAGCAUGUGACUUGAUCUCAGGUCUGCAAGUCCAAUCCCCACACUGGACCUAGAGCUUACCCAAAGAAGAAAGGACAACUGAAGCAGUUGCUUUUUACUCUGGUGUUAAUUAGAAUCCAUACACUGAGGCUAAUAGAGACACAUUGUCAACUGGGUCCUUGGAUGAA
Hyaena hyaena (striped hyena) is the source of this 757-nucleotide long non-coding RNA. RefSeq lists it as uncharacterized. The transcript is spliced from 3 exons. NCBI's taxonomy places the organism in Eukaryota, Metazoa, Chordata, Mammalia, Carnivora, Hyaenidae. The record is from RefSeq and is a predicted model, not a curated record.